ACAUUCUUAUCCUCUAUGCAGGCAAGCAAUGAUUUUGUGGGAGACUGCGUUAAGCUUGCAACUGAAUCUUCAGCAAGGUUUCUGCCAGGAGCACAGAACUCCUUAGCAGAUGUGUUAAGCAGGCAAAUCAUGGAUCCCCACGGUGGAAACUG
This is a long non-coding RNA of Protopterus annectens (West African lungfish), 152 nucleotides long. RefSeq lists it as uncharacterized. NCBI's taxonomy places the organism in Eukaryota, Metazoa, Chordata, Ceratodontiformes, Protopteridae. The transcript has 2 exons. The record is from RefSeq and is a predicted model, not a curated record.